Molecule: unclassified non-coding RNA, 520 nt
Filed under: uncultured Glomus
Lineage: Eukaryota; Fungi; Glomeromycota; Glomeromycetes; Glomerales; Glomeraceae
Description: SSU rRNA
Rfam family: Eukaryotic small subunit ribosomal RNA
Source: RNAcentral
AGCAGCCGCGGUAAUUCCAGCUCCAAUAGCGUAUAUUAAAGUUGUUGCAGUUAAAAGCUCGUAGUUGAAUUUCGGGAUCAAUUAGUCGGUCGUGCCUCUGGUACGUACUGGUUUUAUUGGUUCCUCCCUUCUGACGAAACAUGAUGUCAUUAAUUUGGUGUCGUGGAGAAUCAGGACUGUUACCUUGAAAAAAUUAGAGUGUUUAUAGCAGGCUAACGCUUGAAUACAUUAGCAUGGAAUAAUGAAAUAGGACGUUCGACCCUAUUUUGUUGGUUUCUAGGAUCGACGUAAUGAUUAAUAGGGAUAGUUGGGGGCAUUAGUAUUCAAUUGUCAGAGGUGAAAUUCUUGGAUUUAUUGAAGACUAACUACUGCGAAAGCAUUUGCCAAGGAUGUUUUCAUUAAUCAAGAACGAAAGUUAGGGAUCGAAGACGAUCAGAUACCGUCGUAGUCUUAACCAUAAACUAUGCCGACUAGGGAUCGGGAUGAUGUUAAUUUUUUAAUGUACUCAUUCGGCGCCUUA